UAUAGGCAAGUGUACUCCGCACCUAGAGUUUUGACCUCUAAAGAUAGGGCCUACCCCUAGCCUAUAG
Molecule: transfer RNA, 67 nt
Filed under: Phyllochaetopterus sp. AW-2015
Lineage: Eukaryota; Metazoa; Annelida; Polychaeta; Chaetopteridae
Description: tRNA-Gln
Source: RNAcentral